Molecule: unclassified non-coding RNA, 248 nt
Filed under: uncultured Chaetomiaceae
Lineage: Eukaryota; Fungi; Ascomycota; Sordariomycetes; Sordariales
Description: sequence contains 5.8S rRNA gene
Rfam family: 5.8S ribosomal RNA (bases 1-53)
Source: RNAcentral
GAACGCACAUUGCGCCCGCCAGUAUUCUGGCGGGCAUGCCUGUCCGAGCGUCAUUUCAACCAUCAAGCCCCGGGCUUGUGUUGGGGACCUGCGGCUGCCGCAGGCCCUGAAAACCAGUGGCGGGCUCGCUAGUCACUCCGAGCGUAGUAAUACAUCUCGCUCAGGGCGUGCUGCGGGUUCCGGCCGUUAAAAGCCUUAUUUACCCAAGGUUGACCUCGGAUCAGGUAGGAAGACCCGCUGAACUUAAG